GACGAACGCUGGCGGCGUGCUUAACACAUGCAAGUCGAACGGAAAGGCCCUGCUUUUGUGGGGUGCUCGAGUGGCGAACGGGUGAGUAACACGUGAGUAACCUGCCCUUGACUUUGGGAUAACUUCAGGAAACUGGGGCUAAUACCGGAUAGGAUCUCCUGCUGCAUGGUGGGGGUUGGAAAGUUUCGGCGGGUGGGGAUUGACUCGCGGCUUAUCAGCUUGUUGGUGGGGUAGUGGCUUCCCCAGGCUUUGAAGGGUAGGCGGCCUGAGAGGGUGACCGGGAACAGGGGGACUGAGGUACGGCGCAGAGGCAUACGGGAGGCAGCAGGGGGGAAUAUGGCACAGUGGGAGGAAGCCGGAGGCAGAAACGCCGCGGGCGUGAUGACGGCCUGCGGGUUGUAAACCGCUUUAGCCUGUGACGAAGCGUGAGUGACGGUAAUGGAUAAAGAAGCACCGGCUAACUACGUG
This 468-nucleotide ribosomal RNA is filed under the name uncultured bacterium. Its description in RNAcentral is "partial 16S ribosomal RNA". It matches the Rfam family "Bacterial small subunit ribosomal RNA", at positions 28 to 507 of the family's 1533-position model. The record is from RNAcentral.